RNAcentral lists this ribosomal RNA (723 nucleotides) under uncultured bacterium. RNAcentral's name for it is "bacterial SSU rRNA". It matches the Rfam family "Bacterial small subunit ribosomal RNA", at positions 96 to 806 of the family's 1533-position model. The record is from RNAcentral.
UGGCGAACGGGUGAGUAACACGUGGGCAACCUGCCCAAAAGAGGGGGAUAACACUUGGAAACAGGUGCUAAUACCGCAUAACCAUAGUUACCGCAUGGUAACUAUGUAAAAGGUGGCUAUGCUACCGCUUUUGGAUGGGCCCGCGACGCAUUAGCUAGUUGGUGGGGUAAAGGCUUACCAAGGCAAUGAUGCGUAGCCGAACUGAGAGGUUGAUCGGCCACAUUGGGACUGAGACACGGCCCAAACUCCUACGGGAGGCAGCAGUAGGGAAUCUUCCACAAUGGGCGAAAGCCUGAUGGAGCAACGCCGCGUGGGUGAAGAAGGUCUUCGGAUCGUAAAACCCUGUUGUUAGAGAAGAAAGUGCGUGAGAGUAACUGUUCACGUUUCGACGGUAUCUAACCAGAAAGCCACGGCUAACUACGUGCCAGCAGCCGCGGUAAUACGUAGGUGGCAAGCGUUAUCCGGAUUUAUUGGGCGUAAAGAGAACGCAGGCGGUCUUUUAAGUCUGAUGUGAAAGCCUUCGGCUUAACCGGAGUAGUGCAUUGGAAACUGGGAGACUUGAGUGCAGAAGAGGAGAGUGGAACUCCAUGUGUAGCGGUGAAAUGCGUAGAUAUAUGGAAGAACACCAGUGGCGAAAGCGGCUCUCUGGUCUGUAACUGACGCUGAGGUUCGAAAGCGUGGGUAGCAAACAGGAUUAGAUACCCUGGUAGUCCACGCCGUAAA